AGUUUUCUGAAUCCGUGCUGAGAUUUCGUCACACACCGACUCAUUAGGGCUGAUCAGACUUCCACGAUAAAUGAAGUU
MicroRNA precursor from Schistosoma mansoni, 78 nucleotides. It matches the Rfam family "mir-3492 microRNA precursor family". The record is from Rfam. Lineage: Eukaryota; Metazoa; Platyhelminthes; Trematoda; Strigeidida; Schistosomatidae.